GUACGCCGGCAACGGUGAAACUCAAAGGAAUGAUCGGGGGCCCGCACAAGCGGAGGAACAUGUGGUUUAAUUCGAUGAUACGCGAGGAACCUUACCCGGGCUCAAACGGGGAGUGGCGCAGGCAGAGACGCCUGUUUCCCACGGGACACUCCCCGAGGUGCUGCAUGGUUGUCGUCAGCUCGUGCCGUGAGGUGUCGGCUUAAGUGCCAUAACGAGCGCAACCCCCGCGUGCAGUUGCUAACAGUCAACGCUGAGGACUCUGCACGGACUGCCGGCGCAAGCCGCGAGGAAGGCGGGGAUGACGUCAAAUCAGCACGGCCCUUACGUCCGGGGCGACACACGUGUUACAAUGGGUGGUACAGCGGGAAGCCAGGCGGCGACGCCGAGCGGAACCCGAAAUCCACUCUCAGUUCGGAUCGGAGUCUGCAACCCGACUCCGUGAAGCUGGAUUCGCUAGUAAUCGCGCAUCAGCCAUGGCGCGGUGAAUACGUUCCCGGGCCUUGUACACACCGCCCGUCAAGCCAUGGGAGCCGAGGGCGCUUGAAGUGCGUCGCCGUGAGGCGCGCCCUAGAGCGAAAUCGGUGACUGGGGCUAAGUCGUAACAAGGUAACCGU
This 614-nucleotide ribosomal RNA is filed under the name uncultured bacterium. Its description in RNAcentral is "bacterial SSU rRNA". It matches the Rfam family "Bacterial small subunit ribosomal RNA", at positions 880 to 1503 of the family's 1533-position model. The record is from RNAcentral.